Molecule: long non-coding RNA, 1031 nt
Filed under: Salmo salar (Atlantic salmon)
Lineage: Eukaryota; Metazoa; Chordata; Actinopteri; Salmoniformes; Salmonidae
Description: lncRNA (ENSSSAG00000109156.1)
Source: RNAcentral
CAUGUAGUAACCAAAAAAGUGUUAAACAAAUCAAAAUAUAUUUUUGAUUUGAGACUCUUCAAAGUAGCCACCGUUUGCCUUGAUGACAGCUUUGCACACUCUUGGCAUUCGCUCAGGUAGUCACCUGGAAUGCAUUUCAAUUAACAGGUGUGCCUUGUUAAAAGUUAAUUUGUGGAAUUUCUUUCCUUUUUAAUGCAUUUGAGCCAAUCAGUUGUGUUGUGACAAGGUAGGGGUGGUAUACAGAAGAUAGUCCUAUUUGGUAAAAGACCAAGUCCAUAUUAUGGCAAGAACAGCUCAAAUAAGCAAAGAGAAUGAUAGUCCAUCAUUCAUUUAAGACAUGAAGGUCAAUCAAUGCGGAAAAUUUCAAAAACUUUGAACGUUUUUUCAAGUGCAGUCGCAUAAACCAUCAAGCGCUAUGAUGAAACUGGCUCUCAUGAGGACCGCCACAGGAAAGGAAGACCCAGAGUUACCUCUGCUGCAGAGGACAAGUUCAUUAGAGUUACCAGCCUCAGAAAUUGCAGCCCAAAUAAAUGCUUCAUGGAGUUAAAUUAUGAGACAGAUCUCCACAUCAACUGUUCAGAGGAGAAUGCGUGAAUCAGGCCUUCAUGGUCAAAUUGCUGCAAAGAAACCACUUCUAAAGGACACCAAUAAGAAGAAGAGACUUUCUUGGGCCAAGAAAAAUUAGCAAUAGACAUUAGACCGAUGCAAAUCUGUCCUCUGGUCUGAUGAGUCCAAAUUUGAGAUUUUUGGUUCCAAAUGCUGUCUUUGUGAGACGCAGAGUAGGUGAAUGGAUGAUCUACGCAUGUGUGGUUCCCACUGUGAAGCAUGGAGGAGGAGGUUUGAUAGUGUGGGGGUGCUUUGCUGGUGACACUCGGUGAUUUAUUUAGAAUUCAAGUCUGUUGGAAAAACAUUCCAGGUGAAGCUGGUUGAGAGAAUGCUAAGCGUGUGCAAAGCUGUCAACAAGGCAAAGGGUGGCUACUUUGAAGAAUCUCAAAUAUAAAAUAUAUUUUGAUUUGUUAAACACAUUCCAC